CUGGCAACAUGCGAGGGAAGACAAAGCUGUGGCACUAGCAAGACCGUCCUGGACACCCUGAGUUUUCAGAAGCUGGUUACACAAUCCAGUCUCUGAAAUAGAGUAAGGUGGGGAGCCAUAGCCCUGGCCGGUGUCACCCGGGAUCUACAGGUGCCAACAACAGAAACCCAGUCUUGCCAUUUAAGUGGAAAUGACCUGGCCUCUGGUUAUAGGGACCACAGACCCCUGGAUGGGCCACCGAGCCUGGCUCACACGCAUCACCCAGCACCAAGGAGACCAUGGCAGCCAUCGAACCCCGGUGUCACCCCCGGGACGGAGUUCAGACCCCCACGGGGAAGCCCGUCUCCAGCCCAAGCCCCUGCCAUCAAAACAGAGUUGAUUUGGAUUCAACUGGAUAUGCUAACGUUUCUACAGCAGGAGAGGGUGGGUCUGUCCUCCCUCCUUCCCUCCCUGCUUCUCUUGGUCUCUGCUGGAACCAGAGGAUUUAAGAAGGAUGAGAUUAUAUCUUACUCCCUGAUUUUUGGCUCUCAAAAUCCCCUGUGAAAAAUGGAGAAGGGAGAUUCAGCCACUUUAUCGUCUUAAAGAGAUAAUUUUAAU
This 597-nucleotide long non-coding RNA is filed under the name Vulpes vulpes (red fox). Its description in RNAcentral is "lncRNA (ENSVVUG00000018815.1)". Lineage: Eukaryota; Metazoa; Chordata; Mammalia; Carnivora; Canidae. The record is from RNAcentral.